AUGAACGCUGGCGGCGUGCCUAACCCCUGCCAGUCGAGCGAAGCGCUUAAAUUAGAUUUCUUCGGAAUGACGAUUUUUGUGACUGAGCGGCGGACGGGUGAGUAACGCGUGGGUAACCUGCCUCAUACAGGGGGAUAACAGUUAGAAAUGACUGCUAAUACCGCAUAAGACCCCAGCUUCGCAUGAAGCGGUGGUAAAAACUCCGGUGGUAUGAGAUGGACCCGCGUCUGAUUAGCUAGUUGGUAAGGUAACGGCUUACCAAGGCGACGAUCAGUAGCCGACCUGAGAGGGUGACCGGCCACAUUGGGACUGAGACACGGCCCAGACUCCUACGGGAGGCAGCAGUGGGGAAUAUUGCACAAUGGGGGAAACCCUGAUGCAGCGACGCCGCGUGAAGGAUGAAGUAUUUCGGUAUGUAAACUUCUAUCAGCAGGGAAGAAAGUGACGGUACCUGACUAAGAAGCCCCGGCUAACUACGUG
This 480-nucleotide ribosomal RNA is filed under the name uncultured bacterium. RNAcentral's name for it is "partial 16S ribosomal RNA". It matches the Rfam family "Bacterial small subunit ribosomal RNA", at positions 29 to 507 of the family's 1533-position model. The record is from RNAcentral.